Non-coding RNA from Erinaceus europaeus (western European hedgehog), 190 nucleotides. NCBI's taxonomy places the organism in Eukaryota, Metazoa, Chordata, Mammalia, Eulipotyphla, Erinaceidae. The record is from Rfam.
CUUGCUUCUUGUAAUUUUAGCUAAGAUUAAAUGCAGUAUUAGUUCUUAUCAUUUUAAUGAUGAUAUGCCCUUUAUCUGAGAACAAUAUAUUACAUCGGUUUUUGAGCAGGGAAAUGAAAUAGGAGCUGCUCUGACUAUUUUGUUCAUCAACCCCUGAUAUUCCAGAACCUCCUUGAAAGGUAUACUACAA